AACGAACGCUGGCGGCAUGCCUAACACAUGCAAGUCGAACGAGACCUUCGGGUCUAGUGGCGCACGGGUGCGUAACGCGUGGGAACCUGCCCUUAGGUUCGGAAUAACUCCCCGAAAGGGGUGCUAAUACCGGAUAAUGUCUUCGGACCAAAGAUUUAUCGCCUUUGGAUGGGCCCGCGUUGGAUUAGCUAGUUGGUAGGGUAAAAGCCUACCAAGGCGACGAUCCAUAGCUGGUCUGAGAGGAUGAUCAGCCACACUGGGACUGAGACACGGCCCAGACUCGAGCGGGAGGUAGGAGUGGGGAAGAGUGGACGAUGGGCGAGAGAGUGAAGCAGUCAGGACGUGGGAGGGAUGGCGUCAUGGUUUUUAUAAAGCUCUGUUGCCGGGGAUAAUAACGGCAGUAGCGAGAGAAUACGCCCCGGCUACCCCCGUCCCAGCAGCCGGGGUAAUACGCGGAAGAGAAAACGUUCGCCC
RNAcentral lists this ribosomal RNA (474 nucleotides) under uncultured bacterium. RNAcentral's name for it is "partial 16S ribosomal RNA". It matches the Rfam family "Bacterial small subunit ribosomal RNA", at positions 31 to 542 of the family's 1533-position model. The record is from RNAcentral.